CGAGAACAACAAAGUCCACUGGACUGAACCGUGCAAGUGCAUUGGCCACCUGAGCGAGAGUCACUGCAGGCAUCGUAAGGCUAGAAGUCAGAAGCCCAGCUGCUCCGAGGGAAGGCUCAAGGAGCAGUGAGGAGUGGGGCGAGACGACAGGAACCAAAGCUGGUUUUAAAAUACUGUCUCUGUGAAAAUGUCUUGACAUCUGAUAAUGAAGACUCAGUCCAUGAAGAAAGCAAAUUACCUGGUGUUCUGGGAAGACGGCAAGACAUUUUCCAGUAGGGGAGAGGGAGGCCUAUUGAAGAGAGAACAAGAGGUUUCAUCUCUGAAGAUUUCACAGACCAUGGAGGGCCCACAGCAAGGACCUGUCUGAAGAAAGGGGUCCCAAUAGCACCUACUAGCCAGCAGCCUGGCUCACGGAUGCCCUCCUGGAGACCACAUCUCCCAUCCUCUGUGCAGUAACAAGACAUCACUAUGUCAAGGAACACGGGCAUUUCCCCCAGAACACGUGUGCAGUGCUCACAAUGGCCAAGAGGCUGCCGCAUGGUCUGAGUGCCGGGCCACCACCACCACAGAGAUAAGCAGUGUCCUCACUCCCACCCUGUCUCCAUCCUCAGCCCUGAGCACACAUUAAUGUCAGCAAGGGUGACCCAGAGGUCGGUGGGGACUAUCACCUCUAUCCCAGCACCAAGGAGACUGACUCACAGGCUUUGAGUCAGCCCUCGAUUCAGGGCUCCACUGGCAAUUCCCUGCAUGACCUUGAGCAAGUUACUUGACCUCUCUCGACCUCCAACUUGUGGGUGAUGACACCUACCUCCCAGCACUGCUGUGGGGGUUCUAUGAACAGCUCAUGGGACUUCCCAGCACAUGUCUGGCAAGUUGAGUCUGUGCUUGCUUAGCUAAGGGAUCUGCUUCUACGCACUUGCCAUGAAACCCUCAUAUUCAACCUCAUGCUUCAGCAAAAUUACAAAGGAUGCUGCAAUCAUGGAACUUCUGAAUUGCUCAGAGUAGAAACCACCAAUAUUAAAACCGAGAUUGCCCCAGCAUUAGUGUGUAAUUGUAAAUAUGGUACAGAAUAAAUGUCAUACACAGUUAAACUUUUUUCUUCCAUGAAAAUGUAUUUUUAAAUAAACUCUUAACCUGGAAAACCAAAGAACAAAACCUCUGGCCUUUUACACAGAUAGAUGAGCUGCUACGGUUAAUGGCUCUCAGCUGUGCCAAAGCUGUAAACUCUUGCAGGCCCCCAUUAAUCCCUAGGAAACAUCCUGGCCAUAAUCAUCUGUGCUUAAUUGCAUCAUUAUCUCCUGGCUGCCAAAACACUUACAGCCCUUGAUUUUGCAGUUAAUGCCCUAGAAUUUACCCUAAACCAUGGCAGUUAUGUGGCUGAAAGUAGAGUCCUGGUCCUCGAAUGAUGAUUUUUCACAUUACUAUAUAUUCUUCAUAACCAUAAACAUAAAUAGCUUCACGGUAUUCUACCUAUUUGAUAUAUCGUAAUCAUGUUAAUCCAUUCAUCAAGGGUUGGGUGUCUAGCUGUAAGUUUUUGUUGUUAUAAAUGACAACCCUAAACAUUCUUGUACAUAUGGCUUUUCCCAUAUUUUGAAUAGUUUCCUAAGGAUACAUUCCAAGGAACCGGAUUACUGAGUCAAAGGGUAUGAAUAUUUGACUGACUUGUGAAACAUAUUGCCAAAUUGCUUUCCCAAAUGGGAAUAAUCAAUGUGCAAUGCCAUAAGCAACAGAAAAGUGCCAGACACAGUAUACAACGUCAGCACUAGGUAUUGGCAUUUAAAAUUUUCAUUUUAUUGAUCUAGUAGGUAAAGCAUUACAUGUUAUUUAGAUUUAAAUUACGCAUAAGGCUAAAUAUUUUUCCAGAUAUUGCUUCCUAGAUGGAUCCCCUCUUCAGUGAAUUGUCUGUUUAUGUUCCUGGCUCAUUUGCUAUUGUAGACCUGGCAUUUCUCUGCAGUUGUGGACACUCUGCACAAUGAAGUGCAAAAUUAGCCACAUACUUUCCACCUUCCCAGCCCCCAGUGCCUUCCUCCAAUCUGUUGGUCUCAGUGGCAUACCAAGGCUGGACAGUGGGGCAGUUGGCCCAGGUACGGGCAGUAAGGGGGCGCAGUGUCUGCAAUGAAUUUUAAAACAAUUAAAAAUCCAACUGAAAAUUGGUCUGCUUUUUAUUAUCACUGCAUGCGAGCAAUUCUAAACAAUACCAGUGGUAAAAUAUUUCCCCUCGCUGUACCCCACCCUCCUGAUACAGCAACCAAUUGGCCUGUUAAAAAACAGUGUAAACCGCCUAAGCCGUGAGGGCCUCUCCCAAGGCAGAGGCGGUGGGCUUGCCGCUGGGAUCUGAGCACGUCUGCUGAACAAAGGAACCUUGUUAAGACUCUGGUUUCCAUCCUACAAACUCACCUGGAACAGGGAACUGUCUAGUGUGUUUUUAAUGAAGUUGCCCAUAGCAGAGUGUUUCAAAUGUUUGGGUGUGUAUGAAUCCCCUUGGGGAUCUUGUUAAAAUGCAGAUUCUAACUCAGUGGGUCUGGGAUUCUGCAUUUCUAAUAAGUUCCUACGUUAUACAAUGGCAACACUGGUCUAGGGCCACACUUUCGAUAGAGCUCAAGGGAUGCUGAAAACAGGCUGUUUGCCCUACUCCCCAAAGACACCUUUCAACUCUGUUUUUCUUCCUUCCACUGAACUAAGGAUGCUUAGGCAGUCAGUGUAACAAGAACACAAACCUGACCUCCUCUUCUUUUCUGGAAUUCUGUUUAUUCCCAGGAUUUCUCCCCUUCUUGGGUUAGGAUUUUUAUGGUUUAUAGUCAACUGACAACAGUUAAGUCACACUGACGAACUACCACACAGCCUCAAGAGACCCUUGUCUUUUUGUGCUGUACUCUGUCAACUCCAGCCAGCCUGUCCCUCUGUGGCUGCUUCUAGCCUGUUCAAAUCGAGCCAAAACCCCAGAGCCCUGUCCUUAGCUACCUUGUCUCCCAUCCUGGAUGCAGGCUGUGUCCCUGCUGCUCAAGCUCAAGCUAUCUAUAAAGGGGGCAUUUAUGGAGUGGGGCCAAAGCAGUCACAGGGGGCCACCCAGACUCCACCCAUCCACACUCAGUUGUGUGCAAUGAGUGCUUCUAUCACUGCUCCCCUGGGGACCUCCAAGAUUUGAGCCUGGGGGGUUGUCUAAGGCUGCAGAGCAAAGUGCAAUGUACCUCAAGCCUCAUCCCUCAGUAGGCCUUGGACUAGAGAACCCUCUGGGGUAGAGGGAGAGCAGAGGGGGGUGUGGGGGAGUAGCAAAUCUGAUAGGGAGCACUUCGGUGUCAAGUUCCAGAUGGAAAACAUGGGAGGGAAAGGAGGCAGAGAGAUGCCCGGCAUUAUAACUGUUUUCCAUCAAGGCUUCUGACAGAAUGAAAACCUGGGCCCAAAAUGUAGAUUUUGUGUUCUCUACACCACCACUCCCAGCCCCCAGCCCCCAAAACUCAAUUCCCUGAGUUCUCAGCACUCACUCACUCUUUCCACCAGCCUGGCUCCCAUAAGCCCUUGCACAAGCACCGCUGUGGCUCUUCACCACGCUUGUAAUUACUGGAUUACAUGCUCAUUUUCUGCACAGGAUGAGCUUUGGUGUUAGAGACACAUGACAUUCUUGGCUCAGCUACUUUAUACAGGGUGCUGGGCAUGUCACUCUCUCCAUGCCCCAUUUCCCCAUCUAUAAAAAUGGGGAUUAUAAUACAUCUCCCAGGGUAGUUAGGGAAUCAGUGGAAUAAAGGACACCAAAUUCAAAACAGCUGCCUGAAACAAAUCAGGUACGUACACACAAAACUGUUCUCUCUCCAUGUUAUGUCCAUUUCUGUUCUUCCAACAUUUAAGAGCAUCUGACACUCUGUAUCCUUUACAGAAAAGAGGAGGAAAAUGGAAUUUUCUUGUUGUGGGGGGUUCAAUACCCAGGAGGUAAAUGGAAUGUCAGCUGAGACUGCCUGCCUUGUAGCCAGGAGCCCGGGGCAAAGUCAAGGUGCUCCCUGGGCGCUGAGGUUAGUUCUGGUUGAGAGACCAAGGCUCUCCUGUUUGCCCCAGAGAUAUUUUAUACUUAGAAAAUGUAAGUAUAUGUAAUGAAAGCUCUAAAAGGGAAUAAAUGUACAUAAAUGUCAGACAUUAAAGAAUCAAAAUGGUAGAGAAUUCAGAAAAUACAGGUAAAAAACAGAAAAACUCUUGUAACGAAAUGAGACCCACAAGCACUUGUUGGUGCUGAAUUGUUGUUAAAGGACUUUGAGGAGAGAGGACCUGGGUCUGAAACCCUACCAUCCCCUUUGCAGCAGUGACUGGGGGCCGGUGCAUUUACCACUUUGAGCCCAAGGUUUCUCAUGGGUUAAAACCACGUCUUUUCUCCAGAAUUCAGUCAUGAUUAAAUGAGAUCCUGUGUGUAGAGAGUCACACAGGACCUGGCCAAAGUAGGGUCUCCACAAGCCAAAGUUCUUCACAAUGAGAGGACUGUGCCAGAGAAGUAAGACACAGAGGGAUACAGAGCCCAUGAAUCAUCAAAAGAUGGGAGAGCUGGGAGGGAGGGCUGUUCUUUCAUGUAGACAUGUGAUACGUGCAGGACCCAAAGGAGCACUCGGGAUGGAACCCUCUUCCUUUCCCAGGCUAGAGUUGCUUCUUUUUCUGUGCAGCAAAUGAAAUCACAGAUGCUGCAUCUGGGUGCAAUCUACUGGAAUUUCCGGGUUCCUCCUGGAAUAUCAGAGACCCUUAGAAUAAAGUUUUAAAAGAAAAAAAAAAGCCUUGGUUUCCUAUUUGAUUUUAUCUAAUUGCUCUACAUUUUCACUAUAUUUAGAGCAGCUAAGUUCUAGGCUUGUGUGAGGCCUGACUGCAACUGCAGUGCCCAGGUACAGAAAUCUGUACCAGAAUAUUCUUAGCCAUCCAGCCUUUGGACACUUCCAAUGGUGAUGCCACCCUAUGUUAAGCAGCUCAGACUUUCAUAGUCAACAGUCAUUACUGGAAGAG
Manis javanica (Malayan pangolin) is the source of this 4971-nucleotide long non-coding RNA. RefSeq lists it as uncharacterized. NCBI's taxonomy places the organism in Eukaryota, Metazoa, Chordata, Mammalia, Pholidota, Manidae. The record is from RefSeq and is a predicted model, not a curated record.